RNAcentral lists this ribosomal RNA (465 nucleotides) under Vreelandella stevensii. RNAcentral describes it as "partial 16S ribosomal RNA". It matches the Rfam family "Bacterial small subunit ribosomal RNA", at positions 338 to 795 of the family's 1533-position model. The record is from RNAcentral. Lineage: Bacteria; Pseudomonadati; Pseudomonadota; Gammaproteobacteria; Oceanospirillales; Halomonadaceae.
CCUACGGGGUGCAGCAGUGGGGAAUAUUGGACAAUGGGCGAAAGCCUGAUCCAGCCAUGCCGCGUGUGUGAAGAAGGCCUUCGGGUUGUAAAGCACUUUCAGUGGGGAAGAAAGCCUUGGGGCUAAUACCCUCGAGGAAGGACAUCACCCACAGAAGAAGCACCGGCUAACUCCGUGCCAGCAGCCGCGGUAAUACGGAGGGUGCGAGCGUUAAUCGGAAUUACUGGGCGUAAAGCGCGCGUAGGCGGUCUGAUAAGCCGGUUGUGAAAGCCCCGGGCUCAACCUGGGAACGGCAUCCGGAACUGUCAGGCUAGAGUGCAGGAGAGGAGGGUAGAAUUCCCGGUGUAGCGGUGAAAUGCGUAGAGAUCGGGAGGAAUACCAGUGGCGAAGGCGGCCUUCUGGACUGACACUGACGCUGAGGUGCGAAAGCGUGGGUAGCAAACAGGAUUAGAUACCCCUGUAGUC